Molecule: ribosomal RNA, 1443 nt
Filed under: Triticum aestivum (bread wheat)
Lineage: Eukaryota; Viridiplantae; Streptophyta; Magnoliopsida; Poales; Poaceae
Description: partial small subunit ribosomal RNA
Source: RNAcentral
AUGCCUUUCGGCUUAUUUGUGGGAGUCAACAAUCACUUCCGAACUAUUAUCUUUGGCGGCGUCCUGGUUCGAGAUGAGACUGUUGAAACCUUUGAGUGGGUAUUCACCGAGUUCAUCCGUAUGAUGGGUGGUAAACACCCACAAACUGUACUUACAGAUCAGUGCAGGGCGAUGGAGCUAGCACUGGAGAACGUCAUGCCCGACACAACUCACAGGUGGUGCAAGUGGCAUGUGCUCAAGAGUGCAAAGGAAAAACUUGGCCCACUUUAUACAAAACGAAGCAAAUUCAGAUCAGAGUUUCACAAGAGAAUCCAACACAUGCUAACAGUUGAUGAGUUUGAGACUGCAUGGAAGGAUCUGAUAGAAAGCCAUGGUUUACAAACACACCCUUACCUCACAAACAUCUAUGAAACAAGGGAGAAAUGGGCAAAGCCAUACUUCAACGGCAAAUUCUGCGCGAAGAUGACAAGCACACAGCGCAGCGAGAGUGCCAACCACAUGCUGAAGGGUUAUGUCCCAGCAAGUUGCCCAAUGCACCUAUUUGUCCGUCAAUACAUGAGGCUACUUUUCAAUAGGGAGGCAAGUGAAAACUAUGAAGAGAGGCGUACAAAAAUAACACCCCCAGUCAUGAAAAUGAAUGCACCACUUGAAAUGCAUGCCAGUGAGAUAUACACCCGGGCUAUGUUCGAUAAGUUUGGCGAUGUUGUGUAUGAAUCAAUGCAGUACAAAGUAGAAGAGGUCUGCAAGGGAGAAACUUAUUUGGUACGGCGAUACCAUCCAGAAAAACAUGAGAAAUGGUGCAGAGUAGUGUACAGGGUAGAAGUUGACAAACUAGCAGACAAACUGAGGUGCGAGUGUGCUAACUUCGAGCACACAGGCUUGCUUUGCUGCCAUUCAGUGAAGGUCCUUGACUUCCUUGGUAUAGACUGUAUACAAGCACACCAUAUUUUGAAACGAUGGACAAAGGACGCACGGGAUGUUCUACCAAAUCAUCUAUCACACCUCCAGAAGGACAUCAUUUCUCUGAACUCAGUUACAUUCAGGCACUCAAACUUGUACACUCAUGCUCUCGAAGUUGUGCAUUUGGGUGAUUCCAACACAGAAGCAUACGAGUGUGCCAUGGAUAUCUUGAAGAAAGCAAUGGACACAUUGACUCCAAUAGCAGCCUUGCAGGAUGGUAUGGGCUUGGAAGCAAGAAUUGAGACACAAAAAAUAAAACAAAAAGAUUUGGUUCCCCUGUCUGUCCCCUACAACACAGCGUGCAGUGAUGCUGAAGGAAGUGCAGUUGGUAAUUUUAGUGGCCUCAGAGCUCCAGAACGCAAACGGAAACCAGGCCGACCAACCACCAGCAGGGACAAACCUCCAUACGACGACCAGAGUGCAAAGAAUAAGUCACACACUCCUAAUGUGCAUGCUGCGAAUGGUUAUGGCACAAGUAAGUGA